GACGAACGCUGGUGGCGUGCUUAACACAUGCAAGUCGAACGGAAAGGCCCUGCUUUUGUGGGGUGCUCGAGUGGCGAACGGGUGAGUAACACGUGAGUAACCUGCCCUUGACUUUGGGAUAACUGCAGGAAACUGGGGCUAAUACCGGAUAGGAGCUCCUGCUGCAUGGUGGGGGUUGGAAAGUUUCGGCGGUUGGGGAUGGACUCGCGGCUUAUCAGCUUGUUGGUGGGGUAGUGGCUUACCAAGGCUUUGACGGGUAGCCGGCCUGAGAGGGUGACCGGCCACAUUGGGACUGAGAUACGGCCCAGACUCCUACGGGAGGCAGCAGUGGGGAAUAUUGCACAAUGGGCGGAAGCCUGAUGCAGCAACGCCGCGUGCGGGAUGACGGCCUUCGGGUUGUAAACCGCUUUCGCCUGUGACGAAGCGUGAGUGACGGUAAUGGGUAAAGAAGCACCGGCUAACUACGUGCCAGCAGCCGCGGUGAUACGUAGGGUGCGAGCGUUGUCCGGAUUUAUUGGGCGUAAAGGGCUCGUAGGUGGUUGAUCGCGUCGGAAGUGUAAUCUUGGGGCUUAACCCUGAGCGUGCUUUCGAUACGGGUUGACUUGAGGAAGGUAGGGGAGAAUGGAAUUCCUGGUGGAGCGGUGGAAUGCGCAGAUAUCAGGAGGAACACCAGUGGCGAAGGCGGUUCUCUGGGCCUUUCCUGACGCUGAGGAGCGAAAGCGUGGGGAGCGAACAGGCUUAGAUACCCUGGUAGUCCACGCUGUAAACGGUGGGUACUAGGUGUGGGGUCCAUUCCACGGGUUCCGUGCCGUAGCUAACGCUUUAAGUACCCCGCCUGGGGAGUACGGCCGCAAGGCUAAAACUCAAAGGAAUUGACGGGGCCCCGCACAAGCGGCGGAGCAUGCGGAUUAAUUCGAUGCAACGCGUAGAACCUUACCUGGGUUUGACAUGGAUCGGGAGUGCUCAGAGAUGGGUGUGCCUCUUUUGGGGUCGGUUCACAGGUGGUGCAUGGCUGUCGUCAGCUCGUGUCGUGAGAUGUUGGGUUAAGUCCCGCAACGAGCGCAACCCUUGUUCACUGUUGCCAGCACGUUAUGGUGGGGACUCAGUGGAGACCGCCGGGGUCAACUCGGAGGAAGGUGGGGAUGACGUCAAGUCAUCAUGCCCCUUAUGUCCAGGGCUUCACGCAUGCUACAAUGGCUGGUACAGAGAGUGGCGAGCCUGUGAGGGUGAGCGAAUCUCGGAAAGCCGGUCUCAGUUCGGAUUGGGGUCUGCAACUCGACCUCAUGAAGUCGGAGUCGCUAGUAAUCGCAGAUCAGCAACGCUGCGGUGAAUACGUUCCCGGGGCU
This 1346-nucleotide ribosomal RNA is filed under the name uncultured bacterium. RNAcentral's name for it is "partial 16S ribosomal RNA". It matches the Rfam family "Bacterial small subunit ribosomal RNA", at positions 28 to 1381 of the family's 1533-position model. The record is from RNAcentral.